CUGGAGUACAGGUGGUGUUUGAUCACAUGAGUAAGUUCUUCAGUGGUGAUUUGUGAGAUUUUGGUGCACCCAUCACCUGGGCAAUGGACUGUACCAAAUGG
This is a long non-coding RNA of Cebus imitator (Panamanian white-faced capuchin), 101 nucleotides long. RefSeq lists it as uncharacterized. The transcript is spliced from 3 exons. NCBI's taxonomy places the organism in Eukaryota, Metazoa, Chordata, Mammalia, Primates, Cebidae. The record is from RefSeq and is a predicted model, not a curated record.